AGGUAGUGUUUGUGCAAGAAGGGCACAAGGAGAAGGAGAAGGAAAAGGAAGGUGUUGGGAGUGGCAAGGUCAUUAGGGACAAGGACACUCUCAAGAAUUUUGCCGGCAAGAACAAUCCAUCUUAUGUUCUCAUGAGAGGAAAUGAUGGCUAUACCUUUGCAAAAUUUGUUGGGACUAACUAUAAUGAUUAUGCUUGGACUAUUUGGGUUCUCAAGACCCUUGUUGCUAACUCAUGAGGACCCAUUGCAAAAUCUUUACCUAAUAAUAAAGGGUCUGUUGCGUCUGCCCGUUCACCCAUCGCAGUCGUUUUGCAAAUGGGCCCUCCUGUUUUUCAGAAAUUUCACCCGCAGUCCCUCUUUAAGUGAUAUCUGGGAAAUCGUUUCGAUUUUACAAAUUGACCCCUAAAUUUAUUAGAAUUCAACCCGAGCUCCUAUCCUCUACCUUAUCCAGACGCUCCUUCUCGCACGCCCUCCCCGCCGUUCCUCCCGCCGCCUGGCCUUCGCCGGCCCUCCGCCACGCAGUGGUGCGCCCGAGCUUGGGAGCGCUGCCGCUGCGUCCGCGCUGGUCCUGGAUCCUAGACGGUGGGCCUCCCUGACCUUUGAUCCCCUUGCUUCAACGGUGGCGGCACCCGUCCUUAACAUUGACAGCCCGAUUCCGGCCAACUCCGGCGCCUUCCCAGAUCUGCCACUCACGGGAACGGAUCACUUCGCCGCCCCCUACUGAUUCGCCCUGCAGCCGGCCUUCCCCGCCACCCCGGCGAGCCCCUUGGCCACCGAGAAGACGAGUUGUGCCGCCCGUGAGCACCUCUCCUGAUUCCUCUCUUCCCUCUCCCGCAUCGGCCGCGCGAGUUGGAGCACGCCGCCCUGCCGCGUGCCGUCGGCCAUAGAUGCGGCCUAGAACUACUGCCGCCCCUGCCCUGCCGUGCGCCGACGGCCAUGGACCGGCUGCGCGAGUAGGAGCACGUCACGGCGGCCGCGCAUGAAUGCGGCCGAGAACUGCUGCCGCCCCUGAACUGCAGCCGCACCUGCCAUGCGCCCCUGCCCUGGGCAUGAUGCUGCUGCCGCUCGGUGCUGCCGCUGGGGCGUGCUGCUGCUCGCCUCUCCGGUCCGCCGGUGCCUCCCGCCCGGGCGGUGUCCCGGGCUGACAGGGACGCGCUGCGUGCGUCCGAGCUGCUGCUCGCGUCGCGUCGCGACCGCUGCUGGAACCGAGGGAGCAGCCGGCUGCGCGCGUCUGGGGGAGCGCCUGAGCAGCUCGCGUUCGAGCUGACGGCUGCGUGCACGCCCAAGGGAGCUACCCAGUGCAGCGGCAUCAGCUACCCAAUGAAUGCCCACAACUUUUGUUUAUUAGUUUUUUGUCUAUUGCUGGUUGGUGUAAUCUGCAAGAAAGUGACAUAAUAGUCUAUUUAUCAAGUCCAAAGUCCAACAUUCUUUCAAUCCAGAAGAAAGUUAACAAAAGCAUUUCAGCUUGGAACUCUGGAAGUUGGUGCUGCCGAUAUGGCUGCUUAUCAAGCUGGAUACAGAGAGCUUCCAUUUAAUGAUAGAAAAUUUCCUUUGACCAUCAGGGAGCAAAAUUUCACAAAGAAAUAUAUGAAAGUCUGAUGUCCCCUUUUGAACAAAAGGUUGAUCAGAAGCGAACCAUGUUGGAUCCAAACAAUUUCAUUGUUCAGGAUACGCUAAAGGACCUUCGAGCUAAAUGGAUUGAUGCAGAAGACAUUCCAACUGCCAGUGAACAGCUUGCGCAGAAGAAUAAGAAAUAGAAACCUUCACCUAGGGACACUGCCGGUUCAAGAUGAGCAUGAAGCUGAUACCAAACUACUGUCUCAAGAUACUCCCUCUGUUGACAGUCCGAAUGUUGUUAAUCCUUGACAAGCUGACAAGAUAGGUAGCACAAUUUCUCCGACGUAAUCAAGCGCAACAACGGCAUGAACAGAAGGAUGAGUUUGUCCUGAACUUAUUAUAUACCAUUGAUUUAUCAUCAUAUUUUUCAUGUUGAUUGGGUUAUCAAAGUACUUCUAUUUUCUCAUUCCAAUUUGUCACUGGCAGAUUCUAUAGGCUUAACAAGGAUUAUUGUGUUUCAGCUUUUAUAGAUUAUAUACACUGUAGAGGUUAUCCCAUAUGAUUUACACGGAUUUAUAGAACAUCAGUCUAAUUUAGAGGCUAUGUGUAGUGCAAAGGAAACUUAAUCUGCGCCAUUGCCCUGUUCUUUUAUAUAUGUGUCUGAACUCUGGACUGAAGCAACCUAUGUUGACAAGUAAUCGGCACAACAAUAGAUGGACCCGUGUCCGCAGCCCCAUGGACGAUAUUGCUCUCUCCAACGAAGACCGGCAAAGGUGCGUUUAACAUCGAGUACCUUAAUUUAGGUCAUGAUCUGAGAGUACACUGGCUGAUGCACCCUUACAGAAAUCUGGAUGCUCUUGCACUUUUGGUUUUAUUAGCAAAUUGUUCAUGAAAAUAUGGACGUUGUAUAUGUAAAGAUACACUUUUUACUUGACAAGCGAAAUGAAAUAUGAGGUUCAGACUAAAUUUAUGAUGCCAUUUUCCCAUGAUGCCCUGCAUUUUGAUGAUGAGAAUGUCGGUCAUACUAAUACGUGGAGCAAAGCAAGUUACCUUUUAAUGUUUUAGUGUAUUUCCCUAUGAUUAGAACAUGCUCGUUCAUGACUAUAUUUCUUGGUUCAGUGUUUCAAAAGCUAACCUCAGUGAGUAUUCAGAAAAUAUUGAAGCACUAGCUGCCAUACUCACUACUCCAGUGGUACGUUUUUAUGCAGUCGAUUCAUAUUUGUAUUGAUAUGCUGAAUUCGUCCACCAGAACCUAAAUACGACUAUGCCAUAUUUAUCCCCAGACUCAUUAUUUGAACUGAUCUCUCAUACCAGUACAUGUCAACAUUACUUAGUUGUGUAGCUUCUAGAUACAUUUCCAUUACUAUCUUUUGUAGGAAGCCAGAAAAUGAACAUCCGCGUUCAUGCGAUCAUUGAAGAAAGCAAGCUGCUCAUCUUGACAAGUAAUCAACACGACAAUAGCUAUAACCAUGGCAGUGUCCCCAGCUAGAAUAUCGCUCUCUCCAAUGCCCAUAAUGGCGAAGGACUAUGUCUCCGGUGGAACUCAAUGGGUGAUCGAUAGUGGAUGCACCAAUCAUAUGACCGGAGAAAGGGAGAUGCUUGUGGAGUUCGUUGAUUCACUCAAGGCCUCUUCGAACAUCUCUUUUGGUGACAAUAGCAAGGGCAAGCACUACAAAAAAAGACACAUCCGUGACAUUUUGGGCCGAACGAUUUUUUUUUCUGUCAUACAUAUGACACUUCUAUGACGAUAAUUGUGACAAAACCCGGUAUCAUCAUAGAUGUGGU
Aegilops tauschii subsp. strangulata is the source of this 3341-nucleotide non-coding RNA. Lineage: Eukaryota; Viridiplantae; Streptophyta; Magnoliopsida; Poales; Poaceae. The record is from RefSeq and is a predicted model, not a curated record.